GACGAACGCUGGCGGCGUGCCUAAUACAUGCAAGUCGAGCGAAGUUUUUCUGGUGCUUGCACUAGAAACACUUAGCGGCGACCGGGUGAGUAACACGUAAAGAACCUGCCUCAUAGACUGGGACAACUAUUGGAAACGAUAGCUAAUACCGGAUAACAGUAUUUCUCGCAUGAGAGAUAUUUAAAAGUUGGUUAUGCUAACACUAUGAGAUGGCUUUGCGGUGCAUUAGCUAGUUGGUGGGGUAAAGGCCCACCAAGGCGACGAUGCAUAGCCGACCUGAGAGGGUGAUCGGCCACACUGGGACUGAGACACGGCCCAGACUCCUACGGGAGGCAGCAGUAGGGAAUCUUCCGCAAUGGGCGAAAGCCUGACGGAGCAACGCCGCGUGAGUGAAGAAGGAUUUCGGUUCGUAAAGCUCUGUUGUUAGGGAAGAAUGGAUAUGUAGUAACUAUACAUGUAAGAGACGGUACCUAACCAGAAAGCCACGGCUAACUACGUG
Molecule: ribosomal RNA, 499 nt
Filed under: uncultured bacterium
Lineage: Bacteria
Description: partial 16S ribosomal RNA
Rfam family: Bacterial small subunit ribosomal RNA
Source: RNAcentral